CACUUCAGUUUGGGAUGGGUCUGCUCAGACCAAUUAUUAUUUUAAAAUGGGGGAGACAAAUAAUCCCUUAUUUUUCUAUCCCCUCUUCUAGUGUAUGUCUCCACCCCCACCCAUGUACCCUCCUGCCCUCCCACCCGCUCAUGUACCAUCCACCUGUGACCCCCACAACCCCUGUUGUGUGCUGCCACUGCAGUGGACAUAGCUCCCAACGAUGGCUGCAGCAUCACCAUAAUGAACCACGACUAAAAGUCCAGAGGCAGGAUGCUGCUUGCCAGACCCAACGCCCAGGAUAUGCAGCAUUCUGGUUGAUAUUUAGAAAACUUUCAUGGGCAGAACUCGCUGGGGGCAGCAACCAACCCACAGACAAGUGAUGAAGAGAGAAGAGUAAAGAUAGUGAAGAGGAGUAGAGUGAAAAUAUUUUCAGAUUUUUAAUUUUUUUUACAUUUGGUAUAUAUAUUAUAUUGUUAAGUUGUAUAUAGUUAUUG
Long non-coding RNA from Alligator mississippiensis (American alligator), 485 nucleotides. RefSeq lists it as uncharacterized. The transcript is spliced from 3 exons. The record is from RefSeq and is a predicted model, not a curated record. Lineage: Eukaryota; Metazoa; Chordata; Crocodylia; Alligatoridae.